RNAcentral lists this long non-coding RNA (562 nucleotides) under Homo sapiens (human). Its description in RNAcentral is "non-protein coding lnc-C3orf38-7:1". Lineage: Eukaryota; Metazoa; Chordata; Mammalia; Primates; Hominidae. The record is from RNAcentral.
CUCAGGAUGGGAGCGGAAACAGAGCCUCUUGUUCACACUCCACACCCUCAUUUUCCAGCAGUGAGGGUAGACUAUUAAGGCUCUCAUGUCAUCAAGGAUCGAGGCAAUGGGUUAAUGGAGACUCUAGACAUUUGUUUCCUCACCAGUGAAAAUUAAAUGAAGACCCAGGAAUCACUACAGCUAUAGGGAUGAGAAGGACAUUUCAGCAGCUAGAGUGUGGUGGAAAUGGCCCAAGGAGAAGAGUACAAAGCAACAUAAUGGCAGAGAUGAUGUUCAGAUCUCCAGAUAUUGUGUCCCUGUCUCAGAGUCGCCAACAGAACUUAAUUUUUCAUUUCCUUUUGACAAGUGAUGAGCUUGGGCCUCCUUAGCAGCUUCUUUUUCCAUCAAGAAAAUAUUUCUGGACAAAAACAAACCCAUAGCUGGUUGGAAGCAGGGCAUUGGGCCCAGUGUUAAAGAUUUGAAUAAGAAAGAUGCAGAAGAUAUUAAUCAUAGGCUUAUCAAUGCCCCUAGGAGAUCUGUCCCCCUGAUUGAAGCAACUCUGGCCUUUGGAAGUUCAUACCCA